GAUGAACGCUGGCGGCGUGCCUAAUACAUGCAAGUCGAGCGAACGGACGAGAAGCUUGCUUCUCUGAUGUUAGCGGCGGACGGGUGAGUAACACGUGGAUAACCUACCUAUAAGACUGGGAUAACUUCGGGAAACCGGAGCUAAUACCGGAUAAUAUUUUGAACCGCAUGGUUCAAAAGUGAAAGACGGUCUUGCUGUCACUUAUAGAUGGAUCCGCGCUGCAUUAGCUAGUUGGUAAGGUAACGGCUUACCAAGGCAACGAUGCAUAGCCGACCUGAGAGGGUGAUCGGCCACCCUGGAACUGAGACACGGUCCAGACUCCUACGGGAGGCAGCAGUAGGGAAUCUUCCGCAAUGGGCGAAAGCCUGACGGAGCAACGCCGCGUGAGUGAUGAAGGGCUUCGGAUCGUAAAACUCUGUUAUUAGGGAAGAACAUAUGUGUAAGUAACUGUGCACAUCUUGACGGUACCUAAUCAGAAAGCCACGGCUAACUACGUG
RNAcentral lists this ribosomal RNA (497 nucleotides) under uncultured bacterium. RNAcentral's name for it is "partial 16S ribosomal RNA". It matches the Rfam family "Bacterial small subunit ribosomal RNA", at positions 28 to 507 of the family's 1533-position model. The record is from RNAcentral.